This 148-nucleotide non-coding RNA is filed under the name Homo sapiens (human). Lineage: Eukaryota; Metazoa; Chordata; Mammalia; Primates; Hominidae. The record is from Rfam by way of RNAcentral.
GCCAGGCGUGGUUGUGCACGCCUGUUAUCCCAGCUACUCGGGAGGCUGAGGCAGGAGAAUCGCUUGAGCCUGGGAGGUGGAGGUUGCAGUGAGCCGAGAUCAUGCCACUGCACUCCAGCCUGGGCGACAGAGCGAGACUCUGCCUCAG